RNAcentral lists this ribosomal RNA (253 nucleotides) under uncultured bacterium. Its description in RNAcentral is "partial 16S ribosomal RNA". It matches the Rfam family "Bacterial small subunit ribosomal RNA", at positions 524 to 776 of the family's 1533-position model. The record is from RNAcentral.
UACGUAGGGAGCAAGCGUUGUUCGGAUUUACUGGGCGUAAAGGGCGCGUAGGCGGCAUUUUAAGUCAUCUGUGAAAUCUCCGAGCUUAACUCGGAACUGUCAGCUGAUACUGAUGUGCUAGAGUGCGGAAGGGGCAAUCGGAAUUCUUGGUGUAGCGGUGAAAUGCGUAGAUAUCAAGAGGAACACCUGAGGUGAAGACGGGUUGCUGGGCAGUAACUGACGCUGAGGAGCGAAAGCGUGGGGAGCGAACAGG